GGUCGGUUUGCCGAGUGGCUAGGCGCUGGUCUGCAAAACCAGUUACGGCGGUUCGAAUCCGCCCCCGACCU
This 71-nucleotide transfer RNA is filed under the name Bacteroidales bacterium. RNAcentral describes it as "tRNA-Cys". It matches the Rfam family "tRNA". Rfam says of the family: Transfer RNA (tRNA) molecules are approximately 80 nucleotides in length. Their secondary structure includes four short double-helical elements and three loops (D, anti-codon, and T loops). Lineage: Bacteria; Pseudomonadati; Bacteroidota; Bacteroidia; Bacteroidales. The record is from RNAcentral.